GUGGGGGGGCCGGGGGAUCUGCUCCCUGCCCUCACUGCAGCUGGGCAACAAGUCAUCCUUGGAGAGGGAUCUGGAGGCGCAUCCCUCAGUCUAACACAAAGAGCGUAGGCUUGGGAGCCAGGUUGCUUGGGUUCAAAUCCCAAAUCUGCCUCUUCAGAGACCAUCCAUCUCUUAGAGAAACACUAUUUCCUUGGAGGCACAUGUGGAUGCAACACAAUCCAGAGUCUUUACUGGGGGAAGGAAAAAGUCUACUCUGUGGAUGCAGAAGAAAAAAGGACGGCUGGAGAGAGAGAAAACUCCCCCCAAACCAUGCUUAUAUAACCCCCAUCUCAACUUCUCUGUCAUUGAGCAAGAAAACUCAUGUGAACCAGAAGGUGGCAGAAAGUUCCAUCUGUUAGGCUUGUGAAUGCCAUUUCAAUUUGAAUUGGUUGCUAGGAAAUAAAUAAAUAGAAUGAAAGCAGGAGCAAGUCCUCAGCAUCAGUAUGUUGAGGUUAAGUGUGCAAAGAUUUUUAAGCAUAAACAGAAUACCAAAAUAGCUCAAGAGGGAAGAAAAUAAUGCAUUUGGCUUCAAUACAAGCAGUAUGACCAGACAUCCAUGAAAAGGUAGUGAUAAUCUGAGUAGAAUUCACAGAUUUUUCUACAUAAAGAUGACUCUACUUAUAUUUCUGAGAAUAUAUCAGAUAACUUAUUUAGUGGAAGUAUUUUUAAAGCUAAUUGCCCCUGUUUUGAGCAUUCGAGAUCUUUAGAUUUCUUGGGCUUGGGUGUUUUUUUCUUAAUUAUACAAACUGAACUAUCUUUGGGAUGUGCUUUUACUAAGAAUCGGGUGUGAAAGUUAUAC
Molecule: long non-coding RNA, 838 nt
Filed under: Equus asinus (donkey)
Lineage: Eukaryota; Metazoa; Chordata; Mammalia; Perissodactyla; Equidae
Description: lncRNA (ENSEASG00005031783.1)
Source: RNAcentral